RNAcentral lists this ribosomal RNA (468 nucleotides) under uncultured bacterium. RNAcentral describes it as "partial 16S ribosomal RNA". It matches the Rfam family "Bacterial small subunit ribosomal RNA", at positions 28 to 507 of the family's 1533-position model. The record is from RNAcentral.
GACGAACGCUGGCGGCGUGCUUAACACAUGCAAGUCGAACGGAAAGGCCCUGCACUUGUGGGGUGCUCGAGUGGCGAACGGGUGAGUAACACGCGAGUAACCUGCCCUUGACUUUGGGAUAACUUCAGGAAACUGGGGCUAAUACCGGAUAGGAGCUCCUGAUGCAUGGUGGGGGUGGGAAAGUUUCGGCGUUUGGGGAUGGACGCGCGGCUUAUCAGCUUGUUGGUGAGGUAGUGGGUUAACAAGGCUUUGACGGGUAGCCGGAUUGCGAGUGUGACCGGCCACAUUGGGACUGGGGAACGGCCCAGACUGCUACGGGAGGCAGCAGUGGGAAAUAUUGCACAAUGGGCGGAAGCCGGAUGCAGCAACGCCGCGUGCGGGAUGACGGCCUUCGGGUUGGAAACCGCUUGCGCCUGUGACGAAGCGUGAGUGACGGUAAUGGGUAAAGAAGCACCGGCUAACUACGUG